ACAUGCCUACAAUUUAGAAUUAAUGCAUCAGAUCUCAUUAGAAAUCCGCAGUUAAGUGUACUUGAGCUAGAGUAGUACUGGGUGAUUGCCCGGGAAUUCCUAGCAUUUUACAUGCC
Picea glauca (white spruce) is the source of this 116-nucleotide non-coding RNA. The record is from Rfam. Lineage: Eukaryota; Viridiplantae; Streptophyta; Pinopsida; Pinales; Pinaceae.